Molecule: transfer RNA, 6318 nt
Filed under: Sus scrofa (pig)
Lineage: Eukaryota; Metazoa; Chordata; Mammalia; Artiodactyla; Suidae
Description: lncRNA (ENSSSCG00065058444.1)
Source: RNAcentral
CCUAUUAACUCCUAUAAGGCAUGUUUAUUUUGUUCUCUUCAUAACAUAGAAUUUUGAAACUUAGAAUUACUGUAUCUUCCUGAGUCACAUUUUCCCUCUUUAACUAAAAUGAAAACAUCAUUCUCCACAUGCCCCAGAAAAUAAUUGUUAGAAUUGCCUUUGGUUUCUGAACACUCUUACCUCAUUUAUCUAUUAAGAGGCCAGGUUUUAUAGAUUUCUUUUAGAGUUAUCUAAAAUACAAUUGUCCCUCCCAGUAUCUUCAUUUAUGAUACUAAUCCAGCUCAUAAUCACUUCAUUCAUGAUCUGUCUCCUAGUUCAUUUUAAUGUCUAAACAAAUAUUAGGAUACUAGUUACAGCUCUCUUAUCUUUCUGUAGCAACUGUUACUCCUCAAAAAUGCUAACUCUACUCUUGCUUAGAUAGUAUUUUCACUGAUAAGAGAAGAAUGUUAUAGUGAAGAGUCCUCAGUUUGACAAGAGGAUCUUCAGUGCUUCCAUUAAUAAUUCUUUAAGUAAUUUAUUUAACAUUUCUAAGACUAGACGUCUUCAACUUUAAAAUAUCAUUGGAAGAGAUAUUUAAUUCAUUCAUUCUUUUUCAAGCUUUUUAGCCCUUCAAACAUCCAUAUAUUCAAUAAAUAUUUAUUGUUUACUAAGUUCCAGGGACUCAACUAUAAGCAGGGAAUAAAAAAUGAAAAAAAAAAUGCAUCCCUUACAAGGAGUGCAAGUCUUACCUUUCAUAUUUUUGUGUUUAUAUUUCAAAGCAAGUCAAACAGAAGAUAAAUGAAUGCAAAUAUAGUAGUUCAAGAAAAGUUUAUCAACAUACAAAAUCUAAAUAUAAGUGUGAAAAUUCAGGUUUCCUUAAAUAUCCAUUAAAACUUUGUCUAAAAACUGAGUAUUUUUCUGACAUGGCAAUUUAAAAAUUUCUAUUUAUUAGAUAAAAACAAUAAACAUGUACUAAUUACGGUUUCUCUAAAUUUACUUCCAUGGAAUAGUUUUGUAAAGAAUAUUAAAGAAGAAUAAUUGGGGGUGCUUAAUUUGAAGAUUUGGCAAUGACUAGGAAAAUCCUUGUUUUAAACAACUAAGUCAUUUUGGUCCUUGUCAAUUCACACUUUAAUUAAACUGACAUCAAUGAAGGUAAUACAGCAUAAAAACAACAUUACAGUGGAUUUAAUAUUUGCUAUCGUCUAUGCUCUUUAGGUUGGGAUAAUUAAACCUGGCAUAUUUAUUAAAGGGGAAAACACAUCAAUUUAAGUUUGCUCUUUAAUGAAUUUAUUUGGUAUUAAAAUAUUUAGCAUUAAAUAUUUAAAACAGCUUAUGAAUAUAUUUUAUUCCCUCAAAUAUGCUAAUGAAUAUUUAAUACUAAACAAAUGUCCUAUUUCAUUUCUUUUUUCUCUCUCUGUGUGUAUGUUUUAUUUCAUCUUGCCAAGACCCUGUGUUAAUGUUAAAAAUUGAUUUCAAAAGAUUCAUGAUAUCUAUGUCAUAAGAAACCUUAAAGUGGACAGAUUUUUUUUUCCGUAUAGGUGAAAUAGUAAAUCCUGGCUUCAGAGACUUUAAGACUACAUGAAAGGAGGAUUUAAAAGAGGCUCUAAUGUAUUUAUAGGCCAAAGACUGGGAAAGUCAUGUCCUCAAAUGCUCUGCCUUCUUCAGUGGAAAGUUUUCUUGCUUUUAAGGAUUAAGUACUCAUGUGAAAUCCUCAUUUCCCUUUACUAGACUCAAAUUCAUGCUCUCUUAAAGUAAGAGUCUGUAAACUAUCUGGACAAAAUCUAAUGAUAUUUCACUGAAGUUCAUGAAAUAAUCUUGUUUGAACUACAUAGAGAGCUCUUUGGUAACACCAUGCUUUGGGGGACAGUUCCAGCUAAUCACAUACAUGCUUUUCAUUAAGGUGGCCCUCUGUGAUUUUAUUCAUGAUUUCUAUCUUUUCCUUUUGGCCUCCAUACUUUAGACCCAGAAGAGUUUAACACGUGAUUUGUGCUUUUAUUAUUAUUGUUUGUAUUUUGUGAGUUGCUUCUAAAAUUGCAUAUUCAUUUUUCUUGAAUAUUAUUUUUCUCUUCUUAGUUAGGAAUUGUGUUCUAUUCUUUAAAUACAGACCCUGAAAACUUUCUAAGAAUACUCAUCCUGGGUAAAUGGUAAAUCAAGGCUAAAUGUCUUUGUUUUGCUUUAUGUUUUUCUUUAACAAAGUAAAUUUUAUUCAACCUUUAUUAAUUACUCAAAUAAAAUAAAAUCAUUUUUUCUUAUUUUUGAAACUCAGUUGUUUUCUUUAAAAUAAGUUAUUACAUAUUGUAUAUAUAAAGUAUUUUUCUCACUUUAAUCAUACUUACGCUGUAUGUUAUAAGACAUUUUUGUGUAUAUGGUCCAUUCACUGGUGAUUCAUGUACAAAAGAUCACCUAUAAAAAUCUUUAACUAAACUAUAUCUAAUUUUGCACUUGGAAGAAUAUAAAGAAUACAAUGGAUAUAAAGAACACUAAUGAUUAUAAUAGUAACAACCAUAGUAAAACUAGUAGUUUUCAAGGUUUUUGGAUUUUUAAAAUUUCUGUUCAUUAUAUGCUUAAUUGUAAAGAGGCUCAAGAAUUAAUUAUGCUCUGUCUUGAGGUACAUAGUUAUCAUGACUAUUGAAUACUUGCAGUGAUAUGGACACAAAUAAUAUUGAAUAUUCUAUACUGGUAUAUUUAUUUAUAUUAUAUAUUUACUUCUUCACUUCCUCCUGUUCUGUCUUGAACCCCCUCCAAUCAUCCUGUCUUUCUCACAGUCUACUAGUACUGCUUUUGUCAAGGUCAUUCAUGGUUUCCAUGCUGAUAAAUCCAGUGUUACUGGUGGAACAGCAGUUCCUUGGUUCUUGUUCCUCUGAGGGAAAGAAUUCAGUCAGGGAGACAUAAAGCAGUUUCAAACAGCAGGAGUUUUAUUAAGCAAAGCAAGGAAAAGUAUGCUCCUGGAGAGAAGAGAAUGGCUGUCUGGCUGGAAACCAGAAGCAGCCUCACAGUGGGGGUAGGGCUGUUUUUGCAGAGUAGUGGAAGGUCCCUCCCUAUGUCCUGCAUUAUUUGAUUGACAAAGUAAUUGUUAGCCUGAGGUUAUAUAACUUUUCUCCUACUGUUCAGGUGCUUACCCAUAAGCACCCAAGUGAAACCCCCGGUGGGGAGGGAAGGGCAAAAUAGCAAUACUAAUUUAUUAUAAAUAUGGCAUAAUGAACACCGGUUAUUCUGGGUCACCUCUUGGUCUUGGUGCACCUUCACCAAUUGGUUCUGGUGGUUUGGAAAGUCCAGUUGUGGGUUUGUUUGUUUGAUUGUUUUUGCUUUUAAGUGCCGCACGUGUGGCAUAUGGAAGUUCCCAGGCUAAGGUCAAAUAGGAACUACACCACAGCCACAACAACGCAGGACCCGAGCUGGGUCCGUGAACUACACCACAACUCAUGGCAACACCAGAUCCCCGAUGCACUGAGUGAGACCAGAGAUCCAAGCCUGAAUCCUCACUGAUACUAGUCGGAUUCAUUUCUGCUGUACCACAGUGGGAACUCCCAGUUGUAUUCUUUGACCUUCUACUAACUCCACUCGAGAUGGGUGAGGACCCAUUCAUGUCUGACUAGCUACCUAACAAGUUCUCACUGUUCAUCUUACGUGAUUUAUAAGCUGUGCUGAUGUGUUGAUUGCUCCUUCACUUAUAAGAAUUUGUCCCUGGACUUCCGGAACACUUUUCUCUUGGGUUUUGUCUCUUGAUGUGGCAACUCAGUUCCCCGACCAGGGAUUGAACCUGGGCCACAGUGGUGAAAGCAGUGAAUCCUAUCCACUAGACCACCAGGGAGUUCCCUUGAGAAUGUCUUUAAAACUGUUCUUUGCUAUUUGUGUUCUCUCUUAGUGAACUCGUGCAGUCUCAGGGCUUGAAAUACCAUUUGUAUUACGAAAAUUCCAGAUAUAUCUUCAGAUCUCUCACCCUAGAUUCUAAACAAAUACACAACUGCCUACUUAUUUCCAUUUGCAUUUUAAAUAGAUAUCUCAAACUUAACAUGUCUUAAUUUUCCCCUCAAACUUUGAUUUUCCUUUUCUCUUCCUCUUUGGUGUUAAUGGCAACUCCUUUUUUCCAGUUGUAAGUAUCAGAAACCUUGGGUUCCCCCUUUGGGGGUCUUCUUCCUACAUCCCAAAUACAUUUCUUAAGAAAAUACUGAUGGGAGUUCCCUUCGUGGCACAGUGGUUAACGAAUCCGACUAGGAACCAUGAGGUUGCGGGUUCGGUCCCUGCCCUUGCUCAGUGGGUUAACGAUCCGGCGUUGCCGUGAGCUGUGGUGUAGGUUGCAGACGCGGCUCGGAUCCUGNNNNNNAAAAAAAAAAAAUUUCUAAAAAAAAAAAAAAAAGAAAAUACUGGUGGAUCAUGCGAUAUAUCUAGAAUUCAACUACUUGUGCUACCACUAAAGUCCAAGCUAUUAUUAUACCUACCUGUAUUUCCGCAGAAGCUUCCAAAUAUUUGUCCACAAAAAGUCAGUUCUCAACACAGUAGCCUCAGGGAUUUUUUUUAAUCUAGGUAAUGUCACCCCUCUGUUCAAAAUCUUCCACAGGCAGUAAUUGCCGAAGAAGAGUACAAGCCAGUGUUUUAUAAAAGCCAACAAUACCUUACAUGAUAUGGAUCAUGUUAAUGCUUUUGCUUCAAAUUCUACUGCUUUCUCUAUUUUUUUUACUCUCUUCUAGACUCAUUGGCCUCUUAACCCUUAUGGAUCACAUGAACCAGGGUCCAGCCUUAGAGUCACUGUGCUUAGUUUCUGAUAUCUGGAAUGUUCCUUUCCACAUAUCUGCAAAUUUCACUCCCUUGAUUCAAAUUGUGAAGAAACUAUUUGUCUUAAUCUGUUCAGGCUGCUAUGAAUACCAUAUACUAGGUUGUUUAUAAACCACAGAAAUUUGUUUCUCUUAGUUCAAGAUGCUGGAAGUGUCGGCAUGGUCAGGUACUGGUGAGGGUCCUCUUUUGGAUUGCACACUACCUAUAUUGUGUUGUGUCCUCACUAUUCAGAGGAGGGUGAGAGAGCUCUCUAGGGUCUCUUUCAUAGAACUCUAUUCCAUCCAUGAGGGCUUCACCCUCAGGAUCUAAUCAUCCCUACAAUCCCACCUCUUAAUACCAUCACUUGUGGGGGUGAUGGUGGUGAGGAUUUUAACACAUCGAUUUUGAGAGAACAGAGAGUUUGAAUAUAGUGACCUGUUUGGAAGCCAUUGACAUUAUUUGGGCUUAAAAUAAAGCUGACUUAAGAAAAGGCAGCAGAAUUGAAAAGAGCAGAUUGGUUUUUAGAUUCUGUGCAACACAUCGUACAUCAUUUGUUAUUUUAGUCUAUAGGAUACAGAGAGUAUGGGAAAAAUCAAAUUAGCCUUCAUGAGAGUGUGGCCAUGUUGGUUUGUGCUUGUAAUGUGUAAACCUUGUGUCUGUUAUAGGGAUUGGCCCAAGGUUCACUCUCUAAUAAACAUUUGAUAAGUAAGUGACUAUACCAAUUUUAACAUACUCUUAAGUUUUCAUAAAAUGAAAUCGGUACAAUUAAGCCAUAAAUCAUAUAGAUAUGCUCUUGUAUCAGCAUGACUCUAAACAAGAUCUCAGAAUAGUAGGUACUUAAUAGUCCUUUAUGAUCAAAGAUGAAAAUGCUUUACUAAUUUUCUUUUUUGAUUUAGUAUCAUAAGCAAUCGGGAGCCAUAGUGUUGAAGAACAUCUUAAUCGCCUAUAACACUGGAAAUUAUCAUACCCCUUAGAAUGCUUUGUUGAAAGGACUGUAAAUGUGACCCUGACAUUAUUUUCCCUAAUGAUUCUGGAAUUGAUUACCCACUCUCUCUACACAGCAGAUUCCUUCGUUUUCUAUUCACAGAGACUUUUGCACCAGCAUGUUUUUCUGCUCUAUGUUACAGGCAGGGAUGCCAGGCUGAGCUCUUGGUUUCUACCUGAAUGCUUUGAUGGAGGAAGAUAUUGGCUACACUGAUGUUAGGGCAUUUUCAGCACCUUCCAUUUUCCUUCCUUUCCUUGGUUUUAAUUAGCAUUGGUGAUUUAAAGGCUGACUACAUUUUUCAUCCAAGUUUUUCUUUCAAGUCACUGAUCAAUAACUCGUUAAUGAAGCUAGAAAAAGAGAAUGAAGUAUUCUUAAAUGUCCACUACCACUCCCUAAAGCAAACAAACAAGGCAGUUGUUGCACUGAGGAAAUCAUUUAGCUAGCUAAAUCCUGCAGCUGCCAUGAGGAAGGAUAAUUGAUUUAGUGAGAAGGGUGCUAACAUCCCUAAAUAUUAAAUUCAUUGCAUGAUAUUUAAAAGAUGGCUUUAAUGGCUAUUAAUAUUUGCAUUAUCAUUUUCAAUUUUACUUUCAUGAAAUAUUAUA